RNAcentral lists this transfer RNA (74 nucleotides) under bacterium ADurb.Bin374. Its description in RNAcentral is "tRNA-Gly". It matches the Rfam family "tRNA". Rfam says of the family: Transfer RNA (tRNA) molecules are approximately 80 nucleotides in length. Their secondary structure includes four short double-helical elements and three loops (D, anti-codon, and T loops). The record is from RNAcentral.
GCGGGAGUAGCUCAGUUGGUAGAGCUCCUGCCUUCCAAGCAGGAGGUCGCGGGUUCGAGUCCCGUCUCCCGCUC